UCAUCUCCUGUUUGAGAUCAAAACAUGUUGUGUAGUCAUUAGUCGACUUAAUAAAAAUUCACAUAAAAGUUUAUUUUUAUGUGUGCAUGAAUGCAAAUAUCAUGUUUUGUAAAAAUACAAACCGAGCAUUCUUUAAUUUUGGCUGAUCACACAGAGCUCAACUUUUUCAUAAAAAUGAUCUUGUUUUUGAAGUUGUCCCUUUGCAAAUUGAAAUGUGAGAGCAUUAACUGUCUUAUUACCUUAAUUAAUGUUUGGUUUAUGCUAUUUUUAAUGAAUAAAUGAAUAAAAUAGCCAUCUGGUAGUUAUUGCAUAUACACUCAUCAUAAUGGUAAGAGCAAAAUCUUACUGGUGGUUCUUCACUUUCCAGGCGAAUACUUCUCACUCUUGUUGCAAAACCCAAGGUGCAAAUUGUCUCACACAAAUCACCCUCAUCUGGGCUGAUAUGGACAAGCAUCAAUGUUUUGGAUUCACAUCCUGUCAACAAUUAAACAUGAAUAUGUCAAGGUGACAACCCAUCAAUGAUGUGAGACACUGAUUCAAUCCAACUAGGCGUGAGGUGCUUGUUGAACCCCAUGAGGGAUGACAGUGUAUCUGGGAGAUUCCGCAUGGUUCUUGCGGGUUGCACAUCCAUGUAUAUAGUACACCAGUUGUUGCCAAGAACCAGUGCCGCUGAUCUCUAUCCUACUGAUCCUAUUUGCUUCUCUGCUGGUGAUUCCACCUGCCAUUGCGGAAUGAGAUUAUAAGUUAGACUUGAGAAGGAUAUAGAAAGAACAACAUGAAGACUAUAUCUAUAAGGAUAAGGUGAUAUUUGCAGCUCGUACCUGCACAGGCUUCACUUCCAUACUCGGUCAAAUGUCUACGGACUGCAAGAGCAAGGAGAAUGCUGGGUGUGGGAGCUGCCUCUGGAGAACGCAUACAUUGCUUAAAUCCUUCUUGGGGUUCCAAGGUCUCUAUCACCUCUCAAGAAAAGGGUAAUUGAAGUGUGAAAUAAGGCUUGAGAGCAUUGGAAGAGAAGAAACUUUGCGAUACCUCAGAGUCCUCAGCUAGCUCUUCUUUUCACCUUCAAGGCAGUUUUUCUGCUCCAUAUAUCCAUCAGCAUGUCACCAUCAAGGGUGAAGAGUGCCCAACCGACACACCCAGUGAGAGAGAUUCUAGAUCAGAAUAUGCAAGUACCUCCUGUUUGUUUCAUCAUUUGGAAUCUUGACAGUACAAUCUGCCGUAGCUGCUACCUCCAAAACUGUCCUUAUAACUGCAGAUCAAAUAGACCUUGGGACACCUAGCUAUGGAAUGGAGCUUGCUGUUUCAGCUGUGCCAUAUGUACAUACCCAAGGAAGCUGACAAAGCAAAGCAGCAUAUGCUUCUCCGUUGCUUGGGAUUCUUUGGUCAAGGGAGCUCGAGAUCAGUCAGAACCACAACAGCUGUAACUCCCUCAGUGUUUUUUUUUUUGUCUGUCACAGGGACACAGAGUGAAGCAGGGUGGGAGUGGUGAUGGUAAUUAAGUAUGGAUUAUUGGAUGGCAGAGCUAAUGAUAGAUUAUAUUCCGUGGCACAUGGCGACAACGUUUAAUGGGUGGAUGCGGUGCUUGGCUAAUGAAAACCAUUCUCGUUCUGCUGUCAUAAGAAAAGGCUCACCUACCAUGUGCCAUGCUGAGCUUUUCAGUGAAGCAACAGGUGGGACUGUAGCCUGAAAAAUGCUGGAUUCUAAUCAAUCUUGUGAUUAUCGCUCAAAACAAAAUGCCUUGCUAUUUUUUCAGUGGUUUCUUACUGACGGACACUGUUCCCCGUCAAUUUUGGGCUCGUAAUAUUUCUUUAUCUGAGCAUGGUGAGGUCAGCAGGGCAAGUACUGCUUGUACAUUCUGUUGUACUGAUUCGUUCAUGAGAUGAUCCCUUCAAUCUUUGCAGAUAUCCAGGUAUUUUCAUGAUAAAUGUAUGUUAAAGUCUGUAUCUGUUGCCUGAUCCUUUUUUAUUCGGUGUGGUAUUCAUCUUAAGUGGACUCUUUUACUUUCGACAGUGCAACCAUUUGUGCAUUUAACAGUGACUUCAAUGGUUGUAGGGUAGAACUGAAGUUGCUAAGGUUAUCUUACAAGCUACAACAUUUUUAUGUGUAAUUAGAAGCCUGCGGAUAAAAUAAAAUUUAUUCCAGAAAUGCAUUUGUUAUUCACAAGACAGUCCAGUGUGGCAUUCAAGCAAGGGGGUACAUGAUUGUAUUGAUAAGUGGGUCUCAACAGGUAAGUUUCACCAGUAAGGCAGUGACAAACUGUGGACUAAUAAAACCAGGGACCCAUUGGCCUUUUGUAGGGAUAUUGCCUGUCCCUAUUUUAGUUAGCAAGUAAUGGAUCUUGCUGUACUCUUUGCUGUCCAAUGAAAAGGAGAAGUGAAUGUCUAUUUUUUUUUGAACGGAAAAAACUAUAGGCGUUCAAAUCCAACAAGGAACACUGAAUAUUCUCUUCUUUUCGUUUGACAACAAAGGCCACUGUAUUUGAAAUUUAUAUUUACCUUAUAGAAAAAGAUUAGCUCUAUUCGUUAUAAAAAUCUCAGCUGUUAAAGAGUAUGCAUUUGAUACAUUUGUAUUGUUUAUAUAUGUGAAGAUUUCUCAGUGAUAUGCCUGAUCAAAUUCCCUCUUUCCAGAGCACAGAAAGAUGAUAAGAGGAUCUCUUUAUUGAUCUGGGCAGAUAAGAUAUGGAGGAGCUAUUGCCUAUGGGCCAUAAGAAUUGGAUGAUCAUGAGUACACACUGCUCCCCCUAUGUAUAGCUGCAAUCUCCCUGCUUGCAUUUUCUCUCGCUGGCAAAGCACCUUUUGAGCUCAGGUGAGUAGAGCCUAAGAGUAACAUAUUUCUUCUCCUCCUUUUUUUCUUCCUUUUAAGCAAAAGGAGAAGGAGUGGAGAUGUUCAUUUGAUGGCCAUUUCAGGAGUGGAAGGUAAGUUAGAAAAAUAUUAGAAACAAAGUUACAGAGAGCAAAGCAAGUACUGGUAGAAGAAAAGGAAAUAGUCAAUGUCAAUGUGGUAUAGAAGCACUACACCUUUUCAAUUAGAAUCACAAACUGUAAAAUCAUUAAAGGAAGGUCAAAAUGUAAUACAGCAGUAGUAAUAGAAAUUUCCCGUUUGAUUCAAGAAUUAGGAGGUGUAAUAGAUUAUCGUAGUUAGAGGAAGUACUACUCAAAAGAUGAGAUGGGAUCAAGACAUUAGUUACACUAGCCAGUGGCCACUUGACAAUAAUGUAAUACUUCAUGAAUGAUAAGAUGGGAGUAUAAUGCA
This is a non-coding RNA of Oryza sativa Japonica Group (Japanese rice), 3252 nucleotides long. The record is from RefSeq and is a predicted model, not a curated record. NCBI's taxonomy places the organism in Eukaryota, Viridiplantae, Streptophyta, Magnoliopsida, Poales, Poaceae.